CGGGGGGAGCAAGCGUUGUUCGGAUUUACUGGGCGUAAAGGGCGCGUAGGCGGCCACCGCAAGUCAAUUGUGAAAUCUCCGGGCUUAACUCGGAAAGGUCAACUGAUACUGCGGGGCUAGAGUGCAGAAGGGGCAACUGGAAUUCUCGGUGUAGCGGUGAAAUGCGUAGAUAUCGAGAGGAACACCUGCGGCGAAGGCGGGUUGCUGGGCUGACACUGACGCUGAGGCGCGAAAGCUAGGGGAGCGAACGGGAUUAGAUACCCCGGUAGUCCUAGCCUUAAACGAUGAAUGCUUGGUGUCUGGGGUUAUAAAGUCCCCGGGUGCCGUCGCUAACGCUUUAAGCAUUUCGCCUGGGGAGUACGGUCGCAAGACUG
RNAcentral lists this ribosomal RNA (374 nucleotides) under uncultured organism. Its description in RNAcentral is "bacterial SSU rRNA". It matches the Rfam family "Bacterial small subunit ribosomal RNA", at positions 526 to 896 of the family's 1533-position model. The record is from RNAcentral.